AUACAUGCAAGUCGAGCGGAUCUUCUCCUUCGGGGGAAGGUUAGCAGCGGACGGGUGAGUAACACGUAGGCAACCUGCCCACAAGACCGGGAUAACAUUCGGAAACGAAUGCUAAGACCGGAUACGCAACUUGGUCGCAUGACUGGGUUGGGAAACACGGUGCAAGCUGUGGCUUGUGGAUGGGCCUGCGGCGCAUUAGCUAGUUGGUGAGGUAACGGCCCACCAAGGCGACGGUGCGUAGCCGGCCUGAGAGGGUGAACGGCCACACUGGGACUGAGACACGGCCCAGACUCCUACGGGAGGCAGCAGUAGGGAAUCUUCCACAAUGGGCGAAAGCCUGAUGGAGCAACGCCGCGUGAGUGAGGAAGGCUUUCGGGUCGUAAAGCUCUGUUGCCAGGGAAGAAUAAGGGCCAUUUAACUGAUGGUCCGAUGACGGUACCUGAGAAGAAAGCCCCGGCUAACUACGUGCCAGCAGCCGCGGUAAUACGUAGGGGGCAAGCG
This 501-nucleotide ribosomal RNA is filed under the name uncultured Cohnella sp. RNAcentral describes it as "bacterial SSU rRNA". It matches the Rfam family "Bacterial small subunit ribosomal RNA", at positions 51 to 540 of the family's 1533-position model. Lineage: Bacteria; Bacillati; Bacillota; Bacilli; Caryophanales; Paenibacillaceae. The record is from RNAcentral.